This 253-nucleotide ribosomal RNA is filed under the name uncultured bacterium. Its description in RNAcentral is "partial 16S ribosomal RNA". It matches the Rfam family "Bacterial small subunit ribosomal RNA", at positions 524 to 776 of the family's 1533-position model. The record is from RNAcentral.
UACAGAGGCCUCAAGCGUUGUUCGGAUUCAUUGGGCGUAAAGGGUGCGUAGGCGGCGCGGUAAGUCGGGUGUGAAAUUUCGGAGCUUAACUCCGAAACUGCAUUCGAUACUGCCGUGCUUGAGGACUGGAGAGGAGACUGGAAUUUACGGUGUAGCAGUGAAAUGCGUAGAGAUCGUAAGGAAGACCAGUGGCGAAGGCGGGUCUCUGGACAGUUCCUGACGCUGAGGCACGAAGGCCAGGGGAGCAAACGGG